Molecule: unclassified non-coding RNA, 326 nt
Filed under: uncultured fungus
Lineage: Eukaryota; Fungi
Description: partial contains 5.8S ribosomal RNA, internal transcribed spacer 2, and large subunit ribosomal RNA
Source: RNAcentral
AACGCACAUUGCACUCUCUGGUAUUCCGGAGAGUAUGCUUGUUUGAGUAUCAGUAAACACCUCAAAUCUCUUUCUUUGUGAAAGAGACUUGGACUUGAAUGAUCCCAACUCUUCUAGAGGCGGGCCAUUUGAAAUGCAGGUGCAGCUGGACUUCUCUUCUGAGCUAAAAGCAUAUUUAUUUAGACCCGUCAAACGGUUUAUUACUUUUUGCUGCAGCUAACAUAAAGGUUGAUUGUCCAAUAUGCUGACUGAUGCAGGAUUACCAAGUUUCGAAAGACUCUUGUAAACUCGAUCUCAAAUCAAGUAAGACUACCCGCUGAACUUAA